GAUGAAGAACGCAGCGAAAUGCGAUACGUAGUGUGAAUUGCAGAAUUCAGUGAAUCAUCGAAUCUUUGAACGCACAUUGCACCUCUCGGUAUUCCGGGAGGUAUGCCUGUUCGAGCGUCAUUUGUACCCUCAAGCUCUGCUUGGUGUUGGGUGUCUGUUCCGCCUCUGUGUGUGAACUCGCCUCAAAACAAUUGGCAGCCGGCGUACUUGUUUCGGAGCGCAGCACAUUUUGCGAUCCAGAUCAACGUACAGCGGCAUCCAAGAAGCCUUAUUUAACGCUCUUGACCUCGGAUCAGGUAGGGAUACCCGCUGAACUUAAGCAUAUCAAUAAGCGGAGGA
This 339-nucleotide unclassified non-coding RNA is filed under the name soil metagenome. Its description in RNAcentral is "partial contains 5.8S ribosomal RNA, internal transcribed spacer 2, and large subunit ribosomal RNA". The stretch from base 1 to 120 matches the Rfam family "5.8S ribosomal RNA", at positions 35 to 154 of the family's 154-position model. The record is from RNAcentral.